CCUACGGGGUGCAGCAGUGAGGAAUAUUGGUCAAUGGACGAGAGUCUGAACCAGCCAAGUAGCGUGAAGGAUGACUGCCCUAUGGGUUGUAAACCUCUUUUGUCGGGGAGCAAAAGCCGGACGUGUCCGGCUGUGAGAGUACCCGAAGAAAAAGCAUCGGCUACCUCCGUGCCAGCAGCCGCGGUAAUCCGGAGGAUGCGAGCGUUAUCCGGAUUUAUUGGGUUUAAAGGGUGCGCAGGUGGAUUGUUAAGUCAGCGGUCAACUCGUGGGGCUCAACCCCAUCCAGCCGUUGAAACUGGGGAUCUAGAGUGUGCGAGAGGUAUGCGGAAUGCGUGGUGUAGCGGUGAAAUGCAUAGAUAUCACGCAGAACCCCGAUUGCGAAGGCAGCAGACCGGUGCACAACUGACGCUCAGGCACGAAAGCGUGGGUAUCGAACAGGAUUAGAUACCCCAGUAGUC
Molecule: ribosomal RNA, 458 nt
Filed under: uncultured bacterium
Lineage: Bacteria
Description: partial 16S ribosomal RNA
Rfam family: Bacterial small subunit ribosomal RNA
Source: RNAcentral